CUAAUUUACAAAGGUACCCUUAAGAGCUUUGUCAGAUCAAGUAUGAAAUAGAUAUGCAUAUUUUGUUUAUUUAAAACGUUUGUUUUCAUUUCUAGUUCACAGCGAAAGAAACAAUGAAGAAAUUCACAGAAAUAAACACCUUUUCAGUAAGAAAACGACGUUAGCUUUUACAUUACAGGUCAGAUAAAGAUUCAAGGGUACCGUACUGUGAUCUGGCAUUCCCCUCUUCAAGUGGAGGUAAAGCUUAAAAUUACGACAAGCGCUAUAAUUCAGUUCAAUAUCAUAUUUAUACAAGAUUACUAUUCAUCAUAAGAUGCUUAAUUAGGUUCAGAAUAAAAUUGGCGGAGACUCCCCCCUCCUUCACUCGUCAAACAAUAUUGAAACAACCAUACAUCUAGCUGACAUUCUAAGGUGUUCAUACUCGAGAUGUUCUCCAGCUUGUUCUACAGAGAAAUCCUAUCUUCAAUCCACUAAUCCUACAAAUCUCUACAAAUACAUCAAAUCUACCAUUACUCUUAAUGAUCAAAAUGUUUAAUAUAAUUUGAGAGUUUAUCUUCAAUUUAAAUUUGUAGUGAUAAUUGUAAUUCCUCCCUCAAAAAUUCCGUGCACGUCUCCACGUUCUGAACCAGGUGAAUAAUUAUGAACAUUCAAAAAUCCGAAAUUCUCACAACCACUUCAACAACUCUUAUGCUAGGCUGGCUCUGAGUUCCUGUUGAUCUCAAGAGCUGUAACCUCUCCGCUGCCUCACGGAGCUAAUCUUCUCUGUAUCCUUGGUCUCGAGGAUGAAGAUGCUUUCCACUCCUUUCACCUACUAAUCUUGACAGCCUGAGUCUUGGGUCCUCGAACCGAGACUGCGGUGCAAUCUAGAUGGACUAUGAGGCUACAAACCUCCGGACAAAUCAACAUUUUCACGGUUGACCCCUGUCUAAACUAUCUACCCGGAAUAUAUAUCAGCAAUUAACAUAACCAUGGAUGGACUGAUUUAUUGUGUUUUCAGUUCAUGAUUGACCCCUGUCUAAACUAUCUACCUGAAAUAUAUAUAAGAUAUCAA
Molecule: long non-coding RNA, 1051 nt
Organism: Eurytemora carolleeae
Lineage: Eukaryota; Metazoa; Arthropoda; Copepoda; Calanoida; Temoridae
Exons: 5
Source: RefSeq, a predicted model, not a curated record